UUCCCUAACAUCUCUCGCCUUUCGAAGCCAUUGAAGGAGAGAUACUGGGAGCGGUUCUGCGAUAGUGUCUCUCUGGUUUUGGUUCCAUGACGUCGACGUAUCUUCUCUAUGAAUCUGCUUCUGGUUAUGCUCUGUUUCAUGUCCAUGGCCUUGACGAAAUUGGGCAGAACACGGAAGCCGUUCGGAGCUCCGUCUCCGACCUUAACCGCUUCGGCAAGGUCGUGAAGCUUGCUGCUUUCCACCCUUUCGAGUCGGCUCUCGAUGCUCUCAAGCAGUGCAACUCAGUCUCUGAAGGGCUCAUGACUGACGAGUUGAGGAGUUUUUUGGAAAUUAACCUUCCAAAAGUUAAGGAAGGUAAGAAGGCCAAGUUCGUUUUGGGACUAGCUG
RNAcentral lists this unclassified non-coding RNA (387 nucleotides) under Hevea brasiliensis (rubber tree). The record is from RNAcentral. Lineage: Eukaryota; Viridiplantae; Streptophyta; Magnoliopsida; Malpighiales; Euphorbiaceae.